This 497-nucleotide ribosomal RNA is filed under the name uncultured bacterium. RNAcentral describes it as "partial 16S ribosomal RNA". It matches the Rfam family "Bacterial small subunit ribosomal RNA", at positions 28 to 507 of the family's 1533-position model. The record is from RNAcentral.
GAUGAACGCUGGCGGCGUGCCUAAUACAUGCAAGUCGAGCGAACGGACGAGAAGCUUGCUUCUCUGAUGUUAGCGGCGGACGGGUUAGUAACACGUGGAUAACCUACCUAUAAGACUGGGAUAACUUCGUGAAACCGGAGCUAAUACCGUAUAAUAUUUUGAACCGCAUGGUUCAAAAGUGAAAGACGGUCUUGCUGUCACUUAUAGAUGGAUCCGCUCUGCAUUAGCUAGUUGGAAAGGUAACGGCUUACCAAGGCAACGAUGCAUAGCCGACCUGAGAGGGUGAUCGGACACACUGGAACUGAGACACGGUCCAGACUCCUACGGGAGGCAGCAGUAGGGAAUCUUGCGCAAUGGGCGAAAGCCUGACGGAGCAAAGCCGCGUGAGUGAUGAAGGCCUUCGGAUCGUAAAACUCUGUUAUUAGGGAAGAACAUAUGUGUAAGUAAAUGUGCACAUCAUGACGGUACCUAAUCAGAAAGCCACGGCUAACUACGUG